RNAcentral lists this long non-coding RNA (863 nucleotides) under Pongo abelii (Sumatran orangutan). Its description in RNAcentral is "lincRNA". Lineage: Eukaryota; Metazoa; Chordata; Mammalia; Primates; Hominidae. The record is from RNAcentral.
CAGUGGGCUUUUACCUUAAGCAGCAGGUGGACAGUGGGGCUGGGGACAGCUGCGGGGAUCCAGAGUUCUGGGAGGUGUGGCGGACCAGCUGGGCCCAGGACUGGGGUUGGAGGUGAAAGUCAGGAAACGUCAGCUCAUCGACGGCAUUUCAAGCCGUGGAAUUUGAGUACUAUUGAGCUGGCCAUGCCACUGAUGGAAUCGUUUCUUGCUGCUGCAAAAUUGAGGACCACAUGCUACAGGUCAGGCCUUCUGCCCCCUAUCCGCUGUGAGGUGCUUGAAGGACUGGUUUGGAAACAGACCCCUAUUUCAGAAGCAGAGUUGAGGCUUAGCAAGGGAGAAUGACUGGCCCAAAGUCACUCGGCUGCAGUGACAUCAUUAGCAAGCCAGAAUGCGCAGGGCACACAGCUGGAGGACCAGGCAAGCUGAGGCAGGGGCCAGGUGGGCAGUUGGAAAUACGUCACUAGCCCGGGGCCAACCCCCAUCAGCGGCCAAUGGCCUCUAGAAGAUGGCUGGGCCUCACACGCCUUGGAAACCAGAGCAAGAGGCCAUCAGGGUGGAGAAGGCGGCCCAUCACCUCCUGUCCAAGUGCCUCAUUUUACAGGCCCAGGAGCUGGCACCUCAGCAACUGCUGCAUUUUCAGGAAUUUUGCAAACUGGCUUCAAAAACACAGCCAUGAUUAGACGUCAAAGUAUUUAAACUUACAAUUCAGGGCCAGGCGUGGUGGCUCAUGCCUGUAAUCCCAGCACUUUGGGAGGCUGAGGCAGGUGGAUCACUUGAGGUCAGGAGUUCGAGAUCAGCCUGGCCAACAUGAUGAAACCCCGUCUCUACUAAAAAUACAAAAAAAAAAAAAAAAAAAAAAAAAC